UACGUAGGUGGCGAGCGUUGUCCGGAAUUACUGGGUGUAAAGGGAGCGUAGGCGGGAUAUUAAGUUGAAUGUAUAAACUACCGGCUUAACCGAUAGAAGCGUUCAAAACUGAUAUUCUUGAGUGAAGUAGAGGCAGGCGGAAUUCCUAGUGUAGCGGUGAAAUGCGUAGAUAUUAGGAGGAACACCAGUGGCGAAGGCGACCUGCUGGGCUUUAACUGACGCUGAGGCUCGAAAGCGUGGGUAGCAAACAGG
RNAcentral lists this ribosomal RNA (252 nucleotides) under uncultured bacterium. RNAcentral's name for it is "partial 16S ribosomal RNA". It matches the Rfam family "Bacterial small subunit ribosomal RNA", at positions 524 to 776 of the family's 1533-position model. The record is from RNAcentral.